Molecule: ribosomal RNA, 307 nt
Filed under: uncultured bacterium
Lineage: Bacteria
Description: bacterial SSU rRNA
Rfam family: Bacterial small subunit ribosomal RNA
Source: RNAcentral
GACGAACGCUGGCGGCACGCUUAACACAUGCAAGUCGAACGGAGAUAAUUACUUCGGCAUUUAUCUUAGUGGCGGACGGGUGAGUAACACGUGAGGAACCUGCCUCUGAGUGCGGAAUAGCUUCUGGAAACGGAUGGUAAUACCGCAUAACAUUACUGAAUCGCAUGGUUAGGUAAUCAAAGAUUUAUUGCUCAGAGAUGGCCUCGCGUCUGAUUAGCUAGUUGGUGAGGUAACGGCCCACCAAGGCGACGAUCAGUAGCCGGACUGAGAGGUUGGACGGCCAUAUUGGGACUGAGACACGGCCCAG